This 545-nucleotide long non-coding RNA is filed under the name Mytilus galloprovincialis (Mediterranean mussel). Lineage: Eukaryota; Metazoa; Mollusca; Bivalvia; Mytilida; Mytilidae. The record is from RNAcentral.
GAGCUGGUCAGUAUAAUAUAGGCAUUUGCUAAAAGUCACGUAAAUAAGUUUCUAUCUUUUAUUCAUUUCAAGAAUCAUAUAUUUUCAUUUAUAUUCAAGAUAAACAACAAUUUUAACUAGUAAUAUACUUAAACUAUAGACUUAAAUGAUAUGCCAAGAAUCUAUUCAGUAUGAUACAUGUACAAAGUUAUCUCUACACUCAAGAGAUAUUCAUUAACUUAUCUCUAAACUCAAGAGAUAUUUAUUAACUUAUCUCUACACUCAAGAGAUAAUAUGUUGGUGUGUCAGAAAAAUACAUAAAAAGGCUGAGUCCUGCUAUCUUAAUAAUAAAAUAAAUUACCCUAAGAGAAAAUCCUAACUUGAAGUGAAUUUAGUCAGAAGACCUCUUUCUGACAUAUUGGUAUAUAGUUGUAACUGAUACCUCACCAGUUACAUAAAAAAAUGUUUAUUAUUAUUAGUUAUAUAUUCAGAGCCUUUCCUGAAUAACUAACAAUGAAAUACAGUUUAUACCAUACAUAAACUGUAUUGUUUAUUAUAAUUUCCAG